UGCAGCUGACUAGUUCUGGGAUUUCUUGUCCAGAAGGAGCCUCCCUCAAAUCAUCCUCUUUAUCAAAGCCCUCCACGUGGGUGGUGCUGGUUUUAAUGAACCAUCUCUGUUCAGCAAAUUGUUGCUAUGUAGCAAGUAACACAUCUGAUUGUCAAUGCCAGUUAAGACGCUAAGCCCUCUGUGUUAGGGGACAAACCCAGAGACACCUGCGCUCCUCCCCAGCUGGGAUUUUUCUCACCAGACUGAGCUUGAGCCUUUUGCAGAGCUUCAUCUGGGAUGUGAGUGUCAAGAAAGCCACUGUGUUCAGGUUGUCCUUGAGAAUUUGCUUCUAUACUCCGGCAAGGCCUGGGAACAGAGCCUCCCUAGAAACGAGAAGUGGAGAUCUUUGGAGAAAAACUAACUUCAUGGAUGGAGUUUCACUCUGUUAUCCAGGCUUGAGUGAAGUGGUGUAAUCUCAACUCACUGCAACCUCCACCUCCCAGGUUCAAGCGAUUUUCAUGCCUCAGCCUCCCAAGUAGCUAGGAUUAUAGGUUAGUGCCUCUAAGCAUUGACCCAGCUUUUGGUCUUUAUGAUAAUGAAGACGUCUGACCUCUGGUGGCCAUGACAUUGUUGAAGAGGACUUCAAGAGACCAGGUAGUGCACUGGGUC
This is a long non-coding RNA of Callithrix jacchus (white-tufted-ear marmoset), 648 nucleotides long. RefSeq lists it as uncharacterized. The record is from RefSeq and is a predicted model, not a curated record. Lineage: Eukaryota; Metazoa; Chordata; Mammalia; Primates; Cebidae.